AUCUAGCUGAUGAGUCCCAAACAGAACGAAACGCGUGUCCUGAAU
Molecule: non-coding RNA, 45 nt
Filed under: Schistosoma mattheei
Lineage: Eukaryota; Metazoa; Platyhelminthes; Trematoda; Strigeidida; Schistosomatidae
Source: RNAcentral